AGGGGGGUCGUAUAAUGGUUAGUAUAGGGGACAAGCUUUAUCAAAAAGCUCCCCAGUGUGGAUCCCUUGACGCGAGUUCGACUCUCGCCCUCCCUCCCA
RNAcentral lists this transfer RNA (99 nucleotides) under bacterium. Its description in RNAcentral is "tRNA-OTHER". The record is from RNAcentral.